UUCCUCCAGACUUUGGAGACUCUUGGUGAGUAAAAUUCUUAUUUUCAUGGCAAUAUAGUUAUUUACAUAAGUUCAAUAAGAAUCUUUUCUCCUUAUAGUAGGACACAAUGGGAAACAUUGGUUAUAUUACCAAAGCUUCGACUGGAAUGUCAUAUUAGAGAGAAACAUGCAGACUCAGAUAUGACCAGACAGCUAAGAAACAAAGAUUGACUUUAUCAAAUAAAGCAAUUUGGAAUUUGGCCUGGUACCUUUCUUACAGGAUUCCAAGCAACCUUACUGGUGUUUUCAAUGAGAUCAUCGAACACCAAAACCUGAGUCUUUAAUCCCACUGCCAGAAAGAAAUAAAAUACAAAGAAACCUUCCAUGGAAAACAUGUAAUAACAUGAAAGUUUGCUCUUACCAGCAAAAGCCAAAAUAUGAAAAUCCAGACUGCAAAACUGCUAAACUGUGGUUGAAAUCUUUUAAAUAAG
RNAcentral lists this long non-coding RNA (470 nucleotides) under Equus caballus (horse). RNAcentral's name for it is "lncRNA (ENSECAG00000050384.1)". The record is from RNAcentral. Lineage: Eukaryota; Metazoa; Chordata; Mammalia; Perissodactyla; Equidae.